GCCUGGCCAUUCUUUGAAUCACAGGCUACAGCUCAUGUCAGCAGCUUGUGCAUGCUGUUCCCUCUGCCUCCCACACUCUGCAUCCAGAAGCCUGCACCCCUUGCUCCUUCCUGCCUCUUAGGUCUCAGUUCCGAAGGCAGGAAGAUAAGCUCCAGGAGAAUAAGAACUUGGUCUUAAUCGCUGUUGAUUCUUCAGCCUUGAAAUGCUGCCUGUCAGUUCUCGGCGGACACAACAUCUUUGUUGGUAUGCGGUGCUG
Molecule: non-coding RNA, 256 nt
Organism: Urocitellus parryii (Arctic ground squirrel)
Lineage: Eukaryota; Metazoa; Chordata; Mammalia; Rodentia; Sciuridae
Source: RefSeq, a predicted model, not a curated record